AGUCCCAGAACGAAGAGCGGAGCAAUACAAAACCCCCCAAUACGCGGAGUACUUGCUAACUAUUUUGUUUUUUUGUUUUCAUUAUUUGUUUGGCUGGUUUUCCAUGUGAAAUUAAAUACGAGAUCGAAGCAAAGAGCCAGUCAAUAACGUCAACUUAAGUGUAACGUGUCUGCUGUCGCUUAAAUUUCUAAAACGAGAAGUUUUAAAGUGAAUUUCCCAUCGCAACAAUUGAAGGGGAAAAAACCGGGCCAUCUUCGUUUUCAAUAACUUUUCCGCAAAGGCCUAGAGUGGAGUGGCGUUGUUGUUGUCGGUCGUUUUGCAUGAUAUUUGAUAUUUUCCAUCCAUUACACCAUCACCAUGGAUAAAUUGGCAACCUGAGAUGGUGGUAUAUCAAAUGCAAGUCUUUUUGGCCCCAAAAAUUGUGCAAACAAUCACCUCACCAGCUGGCUGGCAUUGAAAGUCUGCUGUGUAGAUAACACGAUAACACAUUUAAUCUCUUUAACAAUUGUUGAUUUAUUUCAAAUAUAUUUGUUUGCAACGCCA
Molecule: long non-coding RNA, 543 nt
Organism: Stomoxys calcitrans (stable fly)
Lineage: Eukaryota; Metazoa; Arthropoda; Insecta; Diptera; Muscidae
Exons: 2
Source: RefSeq, a predicted model, not a curated record